GACGAACGCUGGCGGCGUGCUUAACACAUGCAAGUCGUACGGUAAGGCCCUUUCGGGGGUCCACGAGUGGCGAACGGGUGAGUAACACGUGAGUAACCUGCCCACAACUUUGGGAUAACGCUAGGAAACUGGUGCUAAUACUGGAUAUGUGCCCCUGCUGCAUGGUGGGGGUUGGAAAGCUCCGGCGGUUGUGGAUGGACUCGCGGCCUAUCAGCUUGUUGGUGGGGUAGUGGCCUACCAAGGCGGCGACGGGUAGCCGGCCUGAGAGGGUGACCGGCCACAUUGGGACUGAGAUACGGCCCAGACGCCUACGGGAGGCAGCAGUGGGGAAUAUUGCACAAUGGGCGCAAGCCUGAUGCAGCAACGCCGCGUGCGGGAUGACGGCCUUCGGGUUGUAAACCGCUUUCAGCAGGGACGAAGCUUUUUGUGACGGUACCUGCAGAAGAAGCACCGGCUAACUACGUG
This 465-nucleotide ribosomal RNA is filed under the name uncultured bacterium. Its description in RNAcentral is "partial 16S ribosomal RNA". It matches the Rfam family "Bacterial small subunit ribosomal RNA", at positions 28 to 507 of the family's 1533-position model. The record is from RNAcentral.